CCUGUAUCAUAAUCUACAUCUAAGCGUAUUGUUAAGUUUACAUUCACUAAGAUACAAUUCAAAAGUAAGAACAGAAAAUAGCUAAAAAAAAAGUUAAUUUGCAAGGGAAUAUCAAGCUUUGCAAAUGAGCAGCAUUUAGCAACACAACACCAGUUUCUCAUGCGGCGUUCCAAUUCAUCAGGUUAUAACAAUAUUAGAAGAAACCAGCAACAGCAAGAACCUUUUGAAGGCAGAAAUAUGCCAAGAGAUUUCGCUAAAGAUGGGAAGAAGAGACGGAC
RNAcentral lists this unclassified non-coding RNA (278 nucleotides) under Hevea brasiliensis (rubber tree). The record is from RNAcentral. Lineage: Eukaryota; Viridiplantae; Streptophyta; Magnoliopsida; Malpighiales; Euphorbiaceae.